ACACCCUCAAGCUCUGCUUGGUAUUGGAGGCCGCCCUGGGGCGCCCCCGAAACACAGCGGCGACGUAGCCGGACUCCCUGGCGUAGUGACACUUGCUGUCGCCCCGGAGUGGUCGGUCGUGCGUCAGCCGGACAACGCCCAAUUUUCUGAA
This 151-nucleotide unclassified non-coding RNA is filed under the name uncultured Ostropales. RNAcentral's name for it is "sequence contains ITS2". Lineage: Eukaryota; Fungi; Ascomycota; Lecanoromycetes. The record is from RNAcentral.